AAGGAAAUCCGGAUCGUCAAGUGGACAAGCCGGUGGAAACACGCAUUGGAAAGGAGCGCUUUAAAGGAAAUAACAUAUGUUGCGUUGCUCUAAUUAGAGAAUUUAAAGCAAGAGGUAUGUAAACGGGUCAAUGCUAUGACCCGAGCCAGGUGAAUGUCGAGAGCCCCGGAUGAAGAUCAAGUGUCGAACAAGAACCGAACACGCGUUAAAUGAAGCUUCCGCAAGUUGUUUCGUCAUCUUUU
This is a long non-coding RNA of Helianthus annuus (common sunflower), 242 nucleotides long. RefSeq lists it as uncharacterized. The record is from RefSeq and is a predicted model, not a curated record. NCBI's taxonomy places the organism in Eukaryota, Viridiplantae, Streptophyta, Magnoliopsida, Asterales, Asteraceae. The transcript is spliced from 3 exons.